UACAGAGGGUGCGAGCGUUAAUCGGAGUUACUGGGCGUAAAGGGCGCGUAGGCGGCCAUCUAAGUCAGACGUGAAAUCCCCCGGCUUAACCUGGGAACUGCGUCUGAUACUGGAAGGCUUGAGUAUGGGAGAGGGAUGUAGAAUUCCAGGUGUAGCGGUGAAAUGCGUAGAUAUCUGGAGGAAUACCGGUGGCGAAGGCGGCAUCCUGGACCAUUACUGACGCUGAGGCGCGAAAGCUAGGGGAGCAAACGGG
This 253-nucleotide ribosomal RNA is filed under the name uncultured bacterium. RNAcentral describes it as "partial 16S ribosomal RNA". It matches the Rfam family "Bacterial small subunit ribosomal RNA", at positions 524 to 776 of the family's 1533-position model. The record is from RNAcentral.